Long non-coding RNA from Bombus pascuorum, 1259 nucleotides. RefSeq lists it as uncharacterized. The transcript is spliced from 2 exons. The record is from RefSeq and is a predicted model, not a curated record. NCBI's taxonomy places the organism in Eukaryota, Metazoa, Arthropoda, Insecta, Hymenoptera, Apidae.
GUGUGUGGUACCGUAAGAGUGCAUAUACAUAAGUGAAAUACCGAUCAGACUCAGGUCUGAUAAGUUGUCACAUGUUUAAAGCUGCUUUAUCGUCACAGUCAGGCGUUUCUCGCUAUUGUCGCAAAAGCGUAUCGACGACAGUUCAAACGUUCACGAAUAUUUCCGAAGUAUGUGCUCGAGCAUUCCAAAAUAAAUUUUCUGAAUGAUCAUUGAAAAUGUUCCUCUAGCUGUUCGAUCAUUUGCAAUAAUCUUGGCAAAAGACGCAAUAGCAAAAGAACGCAACGCAAUUUUCGUGCAACAACCAACCCGGGCUGGGUUGUCUUCUUCUCAGUGUACACGUAUGUCUCGAAACGUAAUACGCAUUUUUCGUAGUACGGUGUUCUUUCAAAAAAAUGAAAACCGAUGAAGUUUCGAGGCACGAAAAUGUUUAACCUAUUUCGAUCCGCAUAAAAACGUAAGCACACUGAGAUCAGUGUUCAAUCAAUCGAAAUGACAUUGCGCAAAAAGAGCGUGGUCGCUUGAACAAUGAACGAUCACUCGCAUAAGUUAAUAUCGCUCUUUAACGCCGUGUGAUCAGUAUCACUUUAGAAAACGCAUUGGUGUAAGUAGUGUAACAUAUUAAAUAAUAAUAAUAACAACAAUAAGACUUACCGUCCGCCACCACGCGGAGGACCAUAUGCAUCUGGUCUGUCGUACCCUUCGGUAUAGCUAAAACAAAAAUUAAGAUUAUUAUAAUAACUAAUAAUAGUUGAGGUUAGUCGAAUUGGAUAUUUCUAAAUAUCUCAAUAUGGAAGACAUUUUGAAAUAUGUAAAUACCUUGCCAAAAAAUAAUAUAUGAGAAAUAAUAAAUAUAAAAUUGAAUGAACUAAUUUUCAUUACAGUGGGAAUGAAACAGCAGAAGAUUUAUUGAAAAUAAGUGGAAUUUUGAAAAAAGAAGAAUAUUUAUGUAUUUUAAGUGAACCGCGAUUAUUUCAAGUUGGUGAUUUGUUAAAACUAAUUUUAUUUUCAAACAUGAUAAUGAUUUAUGAACACAUAACAAAAAUUUAAAAAGAACUAUUUGCAACAAAUAUAAAAGAAACAAAAGUAAUGGAGAAUAAUCAUUAAUUACUAUUUAUAUAUUUAUAUAUUUUAAGUGGUAAAAUGAAUGUAACAUUCUUACUUACCCUCCACCAACAGGUGGAUAUCCACCACUAGGGACAGCACUGCCAGGUCUUCUACUAAACAUGUCUGCUUGUGGUCCAGGACCAGUACUAUAACUA